AAGAGAGUGCAAGAGAACGUGAAACCGGUGUAAUGGAAGCGAAUGGAGCCGACGUAUCUGGUGUGUAUUCAGUCGUGCGGGUGCGUGAUUGCUAGCUCCCACAUUCCGCAAGGUUGUGGUGUUGGUAUUGUUUGCGUGUCGUGCGAUGCAUUUGCAUACGGAGUGCGCUGAGUCGUGUGGUUUCGUCGAUUGACGCCGUUUAAGAGGACAUGGCUUUGGUCGUGAAACCUUGGACGGUCUAAGUCGGUUGGAGCUACACGAUUUUGUGGGUUCGUUGUUUUGCGCGGUUUGUCGUGUCGAUGCCGCCUGUUCGUGACGUACACAUGUGUGCUGCGCUUAUGGGUUGUGUCGGUGUGGCGGCGUGCUCGGCGGCCUUCUCAGUGUAUAGUCGGUGACCCAUUCGACCCGUCUUGAAACACGGACCAAGGAGUUUAUGGUAUGCGCGAGUCAUUGGGCUUUGAAACCCAUAGGCGUAAUGAAAGUGAGACCUUAUUGGUUUUAAUGUGAUCGGUUGUUGUUUCGACGGCUGCCGAGCAACAUUGCCCCGUUUCGAAGACUUGUCUUGUUGCGGAGGUUGAGCGUAUGCUAUGAGACCCGAAAGAUGGUGAACUAUGCCUGAACAGGACGAAGCCAGAGGAAACUCUGGUGGAAGUCCGAAGCGGUUCUGACGUGCAAAUCGAUCGUCUGAUUUUGGUAUAGGGGCGCAAGACUAAUCGAACCAUC
Molecule: ribosomal RNA, 723 nt
Filed under: Bursaphelenchus platzeri
Lineage: Eukaryota; Metazoa; Nematoda; Chromadorea; Rhabditida; Aphelenchoididae
Description: eukaryotic LSU rRNA
Rfam family: Eukaryotic large subunit ribosomal RNA
Source: RNAcentral